UACACUUUCGGCAGCGACACCAAACUGGAUGUUGGCACCGUCUCUCCUCCUCAAGUGAGCGUCCUGUCGCCCUCCAGUGCAGAGAUCUCCUCCAAGCGGGCGGCUACACUGCUGUGUGUGGCCAACAAGGGCUUCCCGUCAGACUGGAGGCUGGUCUGGAAGGUCCUCAACAGCAGCGGGGGUCAGGAGAGCAGCAGUGCUGGGCUCCUGGAGAAGGACGGUCUGUACAGCUGGAGCAGCAGCCUGACUCUCACUGAGCAGCAGUGGAUGGAGAGCGUCUCAGUGAGCUGUGAGGCCACACGGAGCGGCCAGCCUGCGCUCACUGCAGGAGACACUGUGACGAGACAGCAGUGUUCAGAGUAG
This is a non-coding RNA of Danio rerio (zebrafish), 363 nucleotides long. The record is from Ensembl. Lineage: Eukaryota; Metazoa; Chordata; Actinopteri; Cypriniformes; Danionidae.